ACCCAAAUAUGUUCCACUCCAACGAGAGGGAUUUCAUGGUGAAAAACUACCGGGAAGAGUCGCAUAUACCCAAAUAUGUUCCACUCCAACGAGAGGGAUUUCAUGGUGAAAAACUACCGGGAAGAGUCACAUAUACCCAAAUAUGUUCCACUCCAACGAGAGGGAUUUCAUGGUGAAAAACUACCGGGAAGAGUCGCAUGUUAGUAUUUGCUAAUUACAAUUGUACUUGAAACUAUGUUAAUAUAAGGGAGACAAUAAAAAUAUGUUUUACUGUAACAAUAGCUUAGAAUUGUAUGAUAAAUUUGGUCUUAAAUCAAUUUCUUUUAUUCAAAUUU
Long non-coding RNA from Mytilus trossulus (common blue mussel), 335 nucleotides. RefSeq lists it as uncharacterized. The transcript is spliced from 3 exons. The record is from RefSeq and is a predicted model, not a curated record. Lineage: Eukaryota; Metazoa; Mollusca; Bivalvia; Mytilida; Mytilidae.